This is a long non-coding RNA of Sphaerodactylus townsendi, 145 nucleotides long. RefSeq lists it as uncharacterized. The transcript has 4 exons. Lineage: Eukaryota; Metazoa; Chordata; Lepidosauria; Squamata; Sphaerodactylidae. The record is from RefSeq and is a predicted model, not a curated record.
UAUUUACAUUCAUCCGUCACAGCCUGGCAGGUUACACAUGGGGGCUGAUCCAUUCAGGGGAGGAAGAGCCUAUGUGCCAGGCCUCCCCUUUUGGUGGGGGCCUCCAUAAGAGGCCUGGGGGGGUAGAGCGAGGGGCCCCUUGCAG